Molecule: ribosomal RNA, 372 nt
Filed under: uncultured organism
Description: bacterial SSU rRNA
Rfam family: Bacterial small subunit ribosomal RNA
Source: RNAcentral
CGGGGGGGGCAAGCGUUGUUCGGAAUUACUGGGCGUAAAGGGCGCGUAGGCGGCCUGCUAAGUCACACGUGAAAUCCCUCGGCUCAACCGGGGAACUGCGUGUGAUACUGGCGGGCUUGAAUUCGGGAGAGGGAUGUGGAAUUCCAGGUGUAGCGGUGAAAUGCGUAGAUAUCUGGAGGAACACCGGUGGCGAAGGCGGCAUCCUGGACCGAGAUUGACGCUGAGGCGCGAAAGCUAGGGGAGCAAACGGGAUUAGAUACCCCGGUAGUCCUAGCCCUAAACGAUGAGUGCUUGGUGUGGCGGGUAUCGAUCCCUGCCGUGCCGAAGCUAACGCAUUAAGCACUCCGCCUGGGGAGUACGGUCGCAAGGUUG